This is a non-coding RNA of Chiloscyllium plagiosum (whitespotted bambooshark), 684 nucleotides long. Lineage: Eukaryota; Metazoa; Chordata; Chondrichthyes; Orectolobiformes; Hemiscylliidae. The record is from RefSeq and is a predicted model, not a curated record.
ACAAGGUUGCACCAAUGCAGUCAUCAAUGUAGCAGAGGAAAAGGUGGGGAGUGGUGUCGGUGUAAAGCCUCCCAACACUAAAGGUCCUAUCUUAUCUUCUCCAGCAAUUGAUCAAAGGCCGGAGUAAUAAAAAUGUCUAAAUACAGGAAACCUCCCUGUGACCACCUGAAAGGGAAUUCGGUUCCAUCCCCAAGAUCGGGUAAUCUGACAAGACUUCCACAGGCUUGGCCUCCGACUUCAUAAAACGGAUUUUAUACCCCGUGAACAGACAAUUCACUUUGCUAUAUUGUUCAUGAAGGAGGAGCAAGAGUCUCGGAAUCACCAACAGUGGAUAUUAUGGCACAACUGAGCAUGUCGGUCUCCAAAAGUCAGUGUGUGGCAAAGCUGGGUAUCAACUGCAACCAUGAAACCUUAAACUGACAGGCCAAUGUUAGUCAACAAGGUCAUUCUGUAUAAGAAGGGCCUAUUAAGAAUAGACCUUCCUUUUCCAAAGGAUUUAAAGAAUCCAAGGAUCCUUUGGUUUUUCUUUGUUAAAAGGACUGUGAAAACAAAUCUUGAAUUGCUGCAAGUUUGAAGAAUUAAGAAACAUAUGUAUUACUUAUGAUUGUUUUUCUUUGCAAACUAUAGUUUAUACAUGAAUUUUCUUUAGGAAGAAACAACCCAUUAAAUUACAUAUUCAAUUAA